RNAcentral lists this ribosomal RNA (1492 nucleotides) under uncultured bacterium. RNAcentral describes it as "bacterial SSU rRNA". It matches the Rfam family "Bacterial small subunit ribosomal RNA". The record is from RNAcentral.
AGAGUUUGAUCCUGGCUCAGGACGAACGUUGGCGGCGUGCUUAACACAUGCAAGUCGAGCGGGGCUUAGUGAAAAGUUUACUUUUUACUGAGUCUAGCGGCGGACGGGUGAGUAACGCGUGGAUAAUCUGCCUGUAAGACAGGGAUAACGCCGGGAAACCGGUGCUAAUACCCGAUAACCUCUUUGGAUCGCAUGGUCUGAUCUUUACAAUGCUACCACUUACAGAUGAAUCCGCGUCCCAUUAGCCAGUUGGUGGGGUAAUGGCCUACCAAGGCGACGAUGGUUAGCGGGUCUGAGAGGAUGAUCCGCCACACUGGAACUGGAACACGGACCAGACUCCUACGGGAGGCAGCAGUGAGGAAUAUUGCGCAAUGGGGGAAACCCUGACGCAGCAACGCCGCGUGAAGGAUGAAGGUUUUCGGAUCGUAAACUUCUUUGAUGGGGGACGAAACAAAUGACGGUACCCCAAAAACAAGCCACGGCUAACUACGUGCCAGCAGCCGCGGUAAUACGUAGGUGGCGAGCGUUGUCCGGAAUUACUGGGUGUAAAGGGCGUGUAGGCGGGAAUGCAAGUCAGAUGUGAAAUGCCGACUCAACCGGGGAGACUGCUCUACGAAACUGGUAGACUUGAGUGCAAGAGAGGGAAGUGGAAUUCCUAGUGUAGCGGUGAAAUGCGUAGAUAUUAGGAGGAACACCAGUGGCGAAGGCGACUUCCUGGCUUGUAACUGACACUGAGGCGCGAAAGCGUGGGGAUCAAACAGGAUUAGAUACCCUGGUAGUCCACGCCGUAAACGAUGAGUGCUAGGUGUCGGGGGUAUCGACCCCCUCGGUGCCACAGCUAACGCAAUAAGCACUCCGCCUGGGGAGUACGGUCGCAAGACUGAAACUCAAAGGAAUUGACGGGGGCCCGCACAAGCGGUGGAGUAUGUGGUUUAAUUCGACGCAACGCGAAGAACCUUACCUGGUCUUGACAUCCCGGGAAUCUCCAGGAAACUGGAGAGUGCCUCUUACGAGGAGCCCGGUGACAGGUGCUGCAUGGCUGUCGUCAGCUCGUGUCGUGAGAUGUUGGGUUAAGUCCCGCAACGAGCGCAACCCUUGUCUUUAGUUGCCAGCACUUCGGCUGGGCACUCUAGUGAGACUGCCGGGGAUAACUCGGAGGAAGGUGGGGAUGACGUCAAAUCAUCAUGCCCCUUAUGUUCUGGGCUACACACGUGCUACAAUGGGUGUAACAACGGGAAGCAAGCUGGCAACAGCAAGCCAAUCCCUGAAAAGCACCCUCAGUUCGGAUUGUAGGCUGAAACCCGCCUACAUGAAGUUGGAGUUGCUAGUAAUCGCGGAUCAGCAAUGGCGUGGUGAAUGCGUUCCCGGGUCUUGUACACACCGCCCGUCACACCAUGGAAGUUGGGGGGACCCGAAGCCAGUGAUCCAACCGUAAGGAGGAAGCUGUCGAAGGUAAAACCAAUGACUGGGGUGAAGUCGUAACAAGGUAACC